Drosophila sulfurigaster albostrigata is the source of this 828-nucleotide long non-coding RNA. RefSeq lists it as uncharacterized. NCBI's taxonomy places the organism in Eukaryota, Metazoa, Arthropoda, Insecta, Diptera, Drosophilidae. The transcript is spliced from 2 exons. The record is from RefSeq and is a predicted model, not a curated record.
CUUCGGCAAUUUGAUUAUUUAAAUUUGUUGUGGAUUUUUUAUACAUUCUUUUUUUUUUUGUUUUGUUGUCAACUGUUUUUACAUUAUUUUAUCAUUGUUUGUUUACAAAAAUCGUUUCCUCAAACCAAAUGUCAAUACCAAAUACAAAUCAACCAGAAAUAAAUCGCAAUGAUUCCAACAGAAAAGUUAAUUGUGAAAAUAAUGCAUGUUAAUUAAAAAAAAUAAAGUACAAAAAACGCAAAAUGCAAAACUGUCAAAAACUGUUAACGGUUGUUGUUACCUGCUUGUGCUGAUACCACAAUUUUGGCACAAAUAUCAAACCCAACGCAAAGCUAUUCGUUAGCUGCGAGCGUAUAAAGAGCGCCAGCAAAAUGGCACCCGGACUCAUUUCCGGCAGAUAAACGAAUCGCAGAAAAUAGAAACUGGACGACACCAGAAACUCCAACGUCAGCGUGGUGACCAGAAAUUGUCGCUCCUAAAAGGUGAGGUGAAUGAGAAAGUAGACAAUAAUACUGAAAAGCAAACUGCAUUACCCGAAACUGAGUGUUGGCAUUACGACUGGCGAUGGCCAAGUGGAGACCAAAGCACAGUAUGAGCAUCUCGCUUGUCUGCGUCACCAGCUCCCAUUUGAGUGGAUGGCAAGUGUUGGUGCUCGCCUCUCGUAGACUCUUCAGCUGCGCACUCUCCAGGAGAUCCAACGAUGAGGCCGUAAACGCAGCCAUGUAGCAGACAACGGCAAACACCAUUGUGCCCAGAUACUUGAGCAGAUCAACGUCGCGGAGCACCCAACGAUGCGCUUUGCGUGUGCGAAAGUCAACGAGAUGGCGA